This 536-nucleotide ribosomal RNA is filed under the name uncultured bacterium. Its description in RNAcentral is "bacterial SSU rRNA". It matches the Rfam family "Bacterial small subunit ribosomal RNA", at positions 37 to 547 of the family's 1533-position model. The record is from RNAcentral.
UGGCGGCGUGCCUAACACAUGCAAGUCGAGCGCGAAAGGGGACUUCGGUCUCUGAGUAGAGCGGCGGACGGGUGGGUAACACGUGGGUAACCUACCCUCGGGUGGGGAAUAACCUAGGGAAACCUGGGCUAAUACCGCAUCAUAUCCCGGGCUCAUAAGAAUCCGGGAUCAAAGCUGGGGACCCUUCGGGGCCUGGCGCCUGAGGAGGGGCCCGCGGCCGAUUAGCUUGUUGGCGAGGUAAUGGCUCACCAAGGCAACGAUCGGUAGCCGGCCUGAGAGGGCGGACGGUCACACUGGGACUGAGACACGGCCCAGACUCCUACGGGAGGCAGCAGUGGGGAAUUUUUGUCAAUGGGGGAAACCCUGAACAAGCAACGCCGCGUGGAGGAUGAAGGCCUUCGGGUCGUAAACUCCUGUCGGAGGGGACGAAAGCGGCUGGGGCGAAUAACCUCAGUUGUUGACGGUACCCUAGGAGGAAGCCCCGGCUAACUCCGUGCCAGCAGCCGCGGUAAUACGGGGGGGGCAAGCGUGGUUCG